GAGAGAGAGAGAGAGAGAGAGAGAGAGAGAGGGCUACAGAUUAUUGGAAGUGAGAGAGAGAGAGGAAUGCAUAGAAAAAACAAGGUUUUAAUAAAACAUCACACUAAGCAUUUAGAUACAAUUAUAUGUGGACAAGGAAUUAAUGGCAUGGCAUCGGUUUUCCCGGCCACAGAUGGGAUUCUUCGUAAUUUAAAGUCAUUCCAAUGUAAGUA
Molecule: long non-coding RNA, 212 nt
Filed under: Amborella trichopoda
Lineage: Eukaryota; Viridiplantae; Streptophyta; Magnoliopsida; Amborellales; Amborellaceae
Description: long non-coding RNA (ATRI_LNC004306)
Source: RNAcentral